This 431-nucleotide ribosomal RNA is filed under the name uncultured bacterium. Its description in RNAcentral is "partial 16S ribosomal RNA". It matches the Rfam family "Bacterial small subunit ribosomal RNA", at positions 29 to 507 of the family's 1533-position model. The record is from RNAcentral.
AGCGAACGCUGGCGGCAAGCUUAACACAUGCAAGUCGAGCGCCCCGCAAGGGGAGCGGCCGACGGGAGAGUAACACGUGGGAACAUACCUUUUGGUUCGGAACAACUGAGGGAAACUUCAGCUAAUACCGGAUAAGCCCUUACGGGGAAAGAUUUAUCGCCGAAAGAUUGGCCCGCGUCUGAUUAGCUAGUUGGUGAGGUAACGGCUCACCAAGGCGACGAUCAGUAGCUGGUCUGAGAGGAUGAUCAGCCUCACUGGGACUGAGACACGGCCCAGAUUCCUACGGGAGGCAGCAGUGGGGAAUAUUGGACAAUGGGGGCAACCCUGAUCCAGCCAUGCCGCGUGAGUGAUGAAGGCCUUAGGGUUGUAAAGCUCUUUUGCCCGGGAAGAUAAUGACGGUACCGGGAGAAUAAGCCCCGGCUAACUUCGUG